AUUGAACGCUGGCGGCAUGCCUUACACAUGCAAGUCGAACGGCAGCACGGGUGCUUGCACCUGGUGGCGAGUGGCGAACGGGUGAGUAAUACAUCGGAACAUGUCCUGUAGUGGGGGAUAGCCCGGCGAAAGCCGGAUUAAUACCGCAUACGAUCCACGGAUGAAAGCGGGGGACCUUCGGGCCUCGCGCUAUAGGGUUGGCCGAUGGCUGAUUAGCUAGUUGGUGGGGUAAAGGCCUACCAAGGCGACGAUCAGUAGCUGGUCUGAGAGGACGACCAGCCACACUGGGACUGAGACACGGCCCAGACGCCUACGGGAGGCAGCAGUGGGGAAUUUUGGACAAUGGGCGAAAGCCUGAUCCAGCAAUGCCGCGUGUGUGAAGAAGGCCUUCGGGUUGUAAAGCACUUUUGUCCGGAAAGAAAUCCUUGGCUCUAAUACAGUCGGGGGAUGACGGUACCGGAAGAAUAAGCACCGGCUAACUACGU
RNAcentral lists this ribosomal RNA (485 nucleotides) under uncultured bacterium. RNAcentral's name for it is "partial 16S ribosomal RNA". It matches the Rfam family "Bacterial small subunit ribosomal RNA", at positions 30 to 506 of the family's 1533-position model. The record is from RNAcentral.